Molecule: ribosomal RNA, 255 nt
Filed under: uncultured bacterium
Lineage: Bacteria
Description: partial 16S ribosomal RNA
Rfam family: Bacterial small subunit ribosomal RNA
Source: RNAcentral
UACAGAGACUGCAAGCGUUUAUUCGGAUUCACUGGGCGUAAAGGGUGCGCAGGCGGUUGGGUGUGUCAGAUGUGAAAUCCCGAGGCUUAACCUCGGAACUGCGUCUGAAACUACUCGACUAGAGUACUGGAGAGGGAAACGGAAUUCACGGUGUAGCAGUGAAAUGCGUAGAUAUCGUGAGGAACACCAGAGGCGAAGGCGGUUUCCGUGGACAGUUACUGACGCUCAGGCACGAAAGCAUGGGGAGCAAAAGGG